UUUUGGAGAGGGGUGGUGGAGGGGCAGAGGGAGAGAAUCUUAAGCGGGCCCCACGCCCAGCGCGGAGCCUGACGUGGGGCUUGAUCUCAUGACGGUGAGACCAUGACCUGAGCUGAAAUCAAGAGUCGGAUGCUUACCUGACUGAACCACCGAGGGUUGUUUUCCUUCUUUAAAUUGUCUCCUCGGGGCGCCUGGGUGGCUCAGUCGGUUAAGCAUCUGACUUCGGCUCAGGUCACGAUCUCGUCGCGGUUUGCGGGUUCGAGCCCCGCGUCGGGCUUUGUGCCGACAGCUCAGGGCCCGGAGCCCGCUUCGGAUUCUGGGUCUCCCUCGCUCUCUGCCCCUCCCCCGCUCACGCCCUGUCUCUCUCUCACUCUCUUUCUCAAAAAUAGAGAAACAUCAAAAAAUUUUUGAAAACAUUGUCUCCUCAGCCCCGCUGUAUCACUUAGUCCUCCCAAAAUCUGUGAGGGAGAAGCGGACCAUUGAGCCCAUUUUCCAGGUGAGAAUCCUGAGUCCACAAGAGCUGUUUCUUGGCCCCUCUGAACGUGGCCAGGGUGGUUCCUGUUGGUACAUCCACAUCCUGAACCUGGAGUGACCUGCUCUCUUCUUGGGCAUCUUCAGUCCCUACCUUGGCCUCGGGUAGCUGGAGAGGUAAGGAAUCUCAACAGCUCUCCUGGGGAAGAUUCAGCUCAAAUCCGCAAUUACUGAGGGCUUCUCCGGGGUCCAGCGCAUUGUCAGGCAACUGGGUGUGAUGAAAAGAACACUAACUAGCUUUGGAAACCCAGUCCCUGCCCUACUUUUUAACGGCUGUACCACCUCGCCCAAGAUACCUGACCUCUCCAGCCUGAGUUUGCCCAUCUAAGAACGGAGGGUGAUGACGUCUAUCUCACAGGCUCACGAGGACACGGUGUGAAAAACGCCUUGGACGUGCAGCAGGAGCGUAAUACAUGCGAUUAGUACUGUACUUGUUUGGUACCUGGUAUCUCAUUUAAAACAUCACGAUAAUUCUGCAAGUUAGGCUAUGCGCUCGCGUACAGAGGCCGAGGACCUUACUCACGACAAUACGACGAGGUCAAACCCGGGGGUCCUUGUCCAGGGCUGGCACUGCUUCCUCUGCCCUGCCCACUAGAGGCCCUAGGACAAUCGUGGACUCCCUUCAACCACGGGGGGUGUAGCACCCAGUGCUGCCCACAGCUCGCGUUCCAGGGAGCCGUUUGUAAAGCGAAAGCCCACGGUAGGACCACCUGCUUCGAGCCAGGAGCUUCCUAAAAGCAUGCAAAAUUCUAAUGAACUCAGGGAAGGCGAGGGUCUGCUGAUGCUGAACGUUCAGUGAGGCCGGGAAGGAUUGGGAGCAGCGACCGACUGUGUGGUCUGGGGCAGGUCACCGCAGGAAGUCGUGGGGCGCCCACAAACGGACCACCUGUGCCAAGUCCCCAGAGGGAGACCUCAUGGGGGUGCCCUGCGAGUUGGGUGACUGGAGGGAUAUUCCUAACUGAUGGGGCUCCAGGUCCUUUCUGAGAGCUCUGAGGUUAGUAACAUCUUCAAAGAGUAGAACCUUUGGGACCGGAGAAGCAACAGCCUCAGUCCUUCGUGUUAGUAAACAUAAAGUGCCUACAGUAGGAGCCGCUCUUCUGAGUGGACACAGGUUGAAUUGGCCUGGUUAAGAGAGAAAAUUCAAAUCUUUCCUGCCAUUAACCUCCCUGUUAUGCACAGUCACUGAAAAUAUCUUUCUAAGUAUAUUUAAAACCUAUUUUUAAAUGUGUACUUCUAAAUAUUGAAAAAAUAUAUACUUAUAAAUAAGGAAACAUUCACCAGUACGCUCUCAUUUUGAUUUUAAAGUUGCCCUCCAAGGGAAGGAAGGCUGAGGCUCGGGGAAGAUAACAUCUUUUAUUUAAUUCAUGGCAGAACACAGGUCUUUCUGAUAUCCAGCACCCUUCCUUCAGCCCUUCCUUCCCUGGGACAGUCAGAAGGGGCGACGGUCCCCAGAGCCAUUUUUUCUCCUCUCGUUUCUUCGUGUCCUCUGAUUUAGAGGUCACGAGAUGCAGAAAAUAAUAUGAGAUGAGGGAGCAGAACUUCCUGAGUUGGCCAGAGUCCCAGAGUGGACUCCAAAGCCUAGACGUGUACAGGAUGGGGAAGGCAGUCAGGAGAACAGGACGGUCUGGACUCACCUGGAUGCUGGCAGAGAAGGACAAGGAUGAAGCAUGCUGGGUGCCUUCUGCCUUCAGUGUCGGUGUUCCAACACCCCCCCCCCCCCAACUACAGAGAAGGCACCUCACCUG
Long non-coding RNA from Neofelis nebulosa (Clouded leopard), 2276 nucleotides. RefSeq lists it as uncharacterized. The record is from RefSeq and is a predicted model, not a curated record. The transcript is spliced from 3 exons. NCBI's taxonomy places the organism in Eukaryota, Metazoa, Chordata, Mammalia, Carnivora, Felidae.